RNAcentral lists this unclassified non-coding RNA (410 nucleotides) under fungal sp. Its description in RNAcentral is "partial internal transcribed spacer region". The stretch from base 1 to 46 matches the Rfam family "Eukaryotic small subunit ribosomal RNA", at positions 1786 to 1831 of the family's 1831-position model. Lineage: Eukaryota; Fungi. The record is from RNAcentral.
AAGUCGUAACAAGGUUUCCGUAGGUGAACCUGCGGAAGGAUCAUUAAAAAAAAACGAAAAAAAACCUCUUUAUUAUCAAAAUUCAAAUAAAAUUUUGCCAAUACACCCCCAAUAGUGUUUCUUAUAAAAACAAAAACUUCUAUCUGAAAAUGAUUCCAGAAAAGGGAGAAAAGGAAAAGACAAAGAGAUUCUCACUUUUACUAGUGUGGAGUUUUUAGUAUUUUCCAAUCUCAUUCUGAUCUGGGGUACUUUUCAGAAAGAUUAACUCUUUAAUACCCCAAUCAAAUCUCUAUUUAAUGAGAUUUGCUUGAAUAAACAAAACAAAACAAAAAAAAACAAAAUAGUUUUGACAAACAAAACAAAUAAAAAAUCGUAGCACAACUUAUAACGAUGGAUGACUAGGUUCUCGC